UACGUAGGGGGCUAGCGUUGUCCGGAAUCAUUGGGCGUAAAGCGCGUGUAGGCGGUCCGGUAAGUCCGCUGUGAAAGUCGGGGGCUCAACCCUCGGAUGCCGGUGGAUACUGUCGGGCUUGAGUACGGAAGAGGCGAGUGGAAUUCCUGGUGUAGCGGUGGAAUGCGCAGAUAUCAGGAGGAACACCGAUGGCGAAGGCAGCUCGCUGGGACGGUACUGACGCUGAGGCGCGAAAGCGUGGGGAGCGAACAGG
RNAcentral lists this ribosomal RNA (253 nucleotides) under uncultured bacterium. Its description in RNAcentral is "partial 16S ribosomal RNA". It matches the Rfam family "Bacterial small subunit ribosomal RNA", at positions 524 to 776 of the family's 1533-position model. The record is from RNAcentral.